This is a long non-coding RNA of Sipha flava (yellow sugarcane aphid), 411 nucleotides long. RefSeq lists it as uncharacterized. Lineage: Eukaryota; Metazoa; Arthropoda; Insecta; Hemiptera; Aphididae. The transcript has 3 exons. The record is from RefSeq and is a predicted model, not a curated record.
GUACAAUCAAUAUACAUUAAUCGGUGUAUGAUAACUCUUCGUCCGAAUGUGGCAGAAAAAAUUUAAUUAUUGGUUUUGAUAAUGAAAAGUGCACAGAAUUCCAGUAGAAGAUCCACAUUAAUGUAAGAGUUUGUCGUAAUAAUUUUAUAGUCUACAGCAGCACGUAGCGAGACCAAUUUACCUGGCACGACUAUUAUAACGAAUGAACACAUAUGAAUAAUAAAGUGGAACCAUGACAUAUAUCCGUGUCCGAACGGUUGUAACAUAGGUUGACUUCAAAACAUUUAAGUGUUUAUAAAUCGGUUUUGGAAUAAAAAAAAAGUUUCAAAUUCAAUCAUAAAACAGCGUGAGACAUUCAAAUCAAACCUGACCGGAUACCUGGGUAACUCAAAAUAUUCGUACAAAUGUAUA